UGCUGCCUUGUCAAAGGCUGCCCAAGUCAUCAAGGUACCCCUUCCCUUCAAAGUGAGGGAAGGGAGAGAGAUAUUCUGGAAGCCUCUCCGUGCAGUGGAGCUGAGAUUUCCCAGGACGCUGAGCUUUCCCAGUGGACAGCUUUUGAUGAGCACGAAGGGACCAGAGCAGACUUCUUUCCUUCUCCUGGACGCUAUGAGGAUCCAAAGCCAUACUACCGCUAAGGGCCCCUUAUGCCCAUCUGCCCCCUUGGCAAGUCCAGACGACUCAGUAAUUUAUCUUUGGAUGAAGAUUAGAUGCCCUAUGACCUGCAACCAGGAGAUUAUGUGUAUUGGAAAAGACAUCAUUUAAAGGACUCCCUCCAGCCUAGAUGGAAGGGCCCUUAUCAUGUACUCUUAACUAGCUCAUGUGCAGCGGAGAAAAAAAAAAACAAAACAGAAGGAAAUUGGCUCUUGGAUUCAUAUUUCUCACAUUAGAGGGGACCCAGCACUGGACUGGUCUAUAGAGAGGACUGCUGACCUCAAAUUCACCUUAAAAUAAUGCUCAAACAGAGGAGAAAUGACACCCAUGCCAGG
Delphinapterus leucas (beluga whale) is the source of this 573-nucleotide non-coding RNA. The record is from RefSeq and is a predicted model, not a curated record. NCBI's taxonomy places the organism in Eukaryota, Metazoa, Chordata, Mammalia, Artiodactyla, Monodontidae.